Molecule: unclassified non-coding RNA, 387 nt
Filed under: soil metagenome
Description: partial contains 5.8S ribosomal RNA, internal transcribed spacer 2, and large subunit ribosomal RNA
Rfam family: 5.8S ribosomal RNA (bases 1-122)
Source: RNAcentral
GAUGAAGAACGUAGCGAAAUGCGAUAAGUAAUGUGAAUUGCAGAAUUCAGUGAAUCAUCGAAUCUUUGAACGCACCUUGCACCCUUUGGACUGCUCCAAAGGGUAUGCUCGUUUGAGUGUCAUUGUACUCUCACACUCUCUGAUCCUUUGGAUUUGGGGAGCAGUGGACUUGGGUGCUUGCUGCUUCCUUGUGGCUCACCUGAAAUGCAUCAGUGCAUCUCUCGAUUGGACAUACUACGGCGUGAUAAGUGUCUUCGCCGGCACCUCAUAUGAGGGUGGCCGAUCGGGAGCUCUGUGCUUUCAAACCGUCUUCGGACAACGCUGACAACUUGACCUCAAAUCGAGUAGGACUACCCGCUGAACUUAAGCAUAUCAAUAAGCGGAGGA